GAAGACUAGAUUAAAUAUGACAUGGUGCCAUGUUCCUGAACUGUAACUGUAUGAAAGCAAAGGGAUGCCUUGCUGGGUUGGGGAGCGAAGAGAAGAUUGGAAAUGGAGUGAUUACACAUAUGGAGAAACCAUAACAGAUCUGUAAGGAGUUUUGUGGAGUUACUGAAACACCUCUAUGCCUCCUUACAUACAUCAAACAGCGAUGAUGCUGUCCAGCUCCACACAUGACUGCUACUGACUGAGCACUGAAUGGACUGUAGCAACCCAACCAGGAUGUGCCCUGCCUCUCACCUGAUAGCAACUGGGAUACGCUCCAGCCUACCUCAACCUUGGACUGGAAUAAGUGAAUACUAAAAAAAUAGAUGGAUGGUGGUGUCUACAGAGACAAAGGUGCAAAUUAAUCUAACCCUGAGCUAAUGGCCCAAGGAAUUUCGAUUUUCCAAACCCAGAUACUGUUCGUCAUAGUAAAACCAAAUGCACAUACAAUAUAUCUUGUAUGUGCUGCCACUUUAUCUUAGGUUUAGUUUGAGAAACAUUGGCUAAAAAAUUGAAUUGCCAGUAAUUCAGCAGCACUAUGACACUUAAAUUACACUACAAAUCCACAAUUCAUUUAACUCCUGAAUCAUAAUGGAGGAUCUGUAUGGAUCAUGAAUCAGUUAUGUUCAAUUACACAACAAUCAACAUGAACUAUAAAUUAAACUAAAAACUCAAAGUUUUGAACCAAAACAUGGACAAUAAAACUGAGGAAGUAGCCACUUAAAACCAAACUUUUAAACAGUGAUAUGGGUCGCUUCAACAUCAAACCCCUAAAACCUUCAGAGACAGGUUUUAUAUCUUCGAGGUGUUUUUUAAUCCUGUAGAGACACAGCUUAAAAAAAGCAGGUCAGUUAUACUUGUUUUUCCAGCAAAAGUCACAUGAAGACAGCUUAUUUACAACUUAACUUCACAUUAUCAGUGUCACACAUGCAGAUGUAGCUAAGUAAAUUAAAACUGCACAUGACAAUUCAGGAGACACCAUUAAACCUGAAAACUAAUCUUUGUCACAGUAACCUUGUGUGCAAUGAAAUUUUGGAGAAGAAUAAAAUUACUUUCAUCUUCUUCAGAGUGCAUGAGUCAUUUCAACAGUUGAUUCAAA
Melanotaenia boesemani (Boeseman's rainbowfish) is the source of this 1135-nucleotide long non-coding RNA. RefSeq lists it as uncharacterized. NCBI's taxonomy places the organism in Eukaryota, Metazoa, Chordata, Actinopteri, Atheriniformes, Melanotaeniidae. The record is from RefSeq and is a predicted model, not a curated record. The transcript has 3 exons.